CGAGGGCCGAUCUCAGAAAUCGAAGAGGCACCUACUUUUCCAGCCUUGUCAGCAUCUGUCACACGCACACUCAGCUUUGCGGAAAUUAUGGGCAUUAUGUCAAAGACUUCUGGGGAAGUAGAAAACACAUGAAUCUUACUGUUCAAUCACCCACUUCCCACACGCAACAAUAGCUCAUGGGUACCACAGAUAACUUUGCCAAAGUUCUCUGCCAAAGUUGAGCACGUGAAGCUUGCAGCUCCCACUACAUCGCUCUGACCAAGAAGGGUAAAAGAAUAGCAAAGAAAUAGCACUAACAAAGUUUAGACCCAUAAAUUUUGAAGGUCUAGCUACCAUAUUAUUACCCACAAGGGUAAAGGAACAGUACCACUGCUGGAUAAUUGGAAAGUCCCUGUAUGUCAACCUCUGUGCUUCGUGGCAAGGUAGACUAGCAAACAUGCCCAACCUUUACUCACAUUCGAGAAAACACUCCCAAUAAGAUUGCUUGCUCCAAAAUCGAAGAGGCACCGUCCUCCGAAUCUAAAGAGAGCCAGACUCCCAACAUGACUACUUUCUUAAAAAUCGAAGAGAGGGUAAAGGAACAGUACCAUUGCUGGAUAAUUGGAAAGUCCCUGUGUGUCAACCUCUGUGCUUCGUGGCAAGGUAGACUAGCAAACAUGCCCAACCUUUACUCACAUUCGAGAAAACACUCCCAACAAGAUUGCUUGCUCCAAAAUCGAAGAGGCACCGCCCUCCGAAUCUCGAGAGCCAGACUCUCCCCAACAUGAUUACUUUCUCAAAAAUCGAAGAGAGACACUGCUCCCCGAAUCUCGAGAGCCAGACCCCCAGCAUGAUUGCUUUCUCAAAAAUCGAUGAGGCAUCGUUCUCCGAAUCAAUCGAAGAGGCGCUCGCUUUCUCAAAAGCUGGGCUGCUCAGAGACCACGAGGGCCGAUCUCAGAAAUCGAAGAGGCACCUACUUUUCUAGCCUUGUCAGCACCUGUCACACGCGCACACUCAGCUUUGCAGAAAUUAUGGGCAUUCUGUCGAAGACUUCUGGUGAAGUAGAAAGCACAUGAAUCUUACUGUUCAAUCACCCACUUCCCACACGCAACAAUAACUCAUGGGUACCACAGAUCAACUUUGCCAAAGUUCUCUGCCAAAGUUGAGCACGUGAAGCUUGCAGCUCCCACUACAUCGCUCUGACCAAGAAAGGUAAAAGAAUAGCAAAGAAACAGCACA
This 1218-nucleotide long non-coding RNA is filed under the name Malus domestica (apple). RNAcentral's name for it is "long non-coding RNA (MDOM_LNC002013)". The record is from RNAcentral. Lineage: Eukaryota; Viridiplantae; Streptophyta; Magnoliopsida; Rosales; Rosaceae.